UCUAAUAUGGCAGAAAAGUGCAAUGAAUUUAAGAUUCAUA
Molecule: transfer RNA, 40 nt
Filed under: Mesovelia horvathi
Lineage: Eukaryota; Metazoa; Arthropoda; Insecta; Hemiptera; Mesoveliidae
Description: partial tRNA-Leu
Source: RNAcentral